CCAGCUCCAAUAGCGUAUAUUAAAGUUGUUGCAGUUAAAAAGCUCGUAGUUGGAUUUCCGGAUGUGGGGGUGCGGUCUGCCGCAAGGUGUGUACUGCUGCCCAUGUCCAACCUUUUUCGAAGACUGUGCGUGCUCUUUACUGAGUUGCGUAUGGGACUCGAGACUUUUACUUUGAAAAAAUUAGAGUGUUCAAAGCAGGCUUACGCUUGAAUACAUUAGCAUGGAAUAAUGGAAUAGGACUUUGGUCUUAUUUUGUUGGUUUCUAGGACCGAAGUAAUGAUUAAUAGGGACAGUUGGGGGCAUUCGUAUUUAAUUGUCAGAGGUGAAAUUCUUGGAUUUAUGAAAGACGAACUUCUGCGAAAGCAUUUGCCAAGGAUGUUUCCAUUAAUCAAGAACGAAAGUUAGGGGAUCGAAGACGAUCAGAUACCGUCGUAGUCCUAACCAUAAACUAUGCCGACUAGGGAUCAGCGAGUGUAUUUAAGACCUCGUUGGCACCUUAUGAGAAAUCAAAGUUUUUGGGUUCUGGGGGGUGUAUGGUCGCAAGGCUGAAACUUAAAGGAAUUGACGGAAGACCACAACCAGGAGUGGAGCCUGCGGCUUAAUUCGACUCAAC
This 613-nucleotide ribosomal RNA is filed under the name uncultured eukaryote. Its description in RNAcentral is "bacterial SSU rRNA". It matches the Rfam family "Eukaryotic small subunit ribosomal RNA", at positions 585 to 1204 of the family's 1831-position model. The record is from RNAcentral.